Molecule: small nuclear RNA, 140 nt
Organism: Maylandia zebra (zebra mbuna)
Lineage: Eukaryota; Metazoa; Chordata; Actinopteri; Cichliformes; Cichlidae
Gene: U4
Rfam family: U4 spliceosomal RNA
About the family: U4 small nuclear RNA (U4 snRNA) is a component of the major U2-dependent spliceosome. The structure of U4 snRNA from yeast and human has been reported.
Source: Ensembl
AUUCUUGUGCAGAGGCAAUUUCAUAGUCUAUGAAGUUCUACUGAGACGUGAUUAUUGCUGGUUGAAAACUUUAACCAAUUCCCGCCUUGAUGACUUGAAACACAGUCAGCUAUGGCAAUUUUUGCUGGUUUCUCAGGAGA